AUAUCAAUAAGCGGAGGAAAAGAAACUAACAAGGAUUCCCCUAGUAACGGCGAGUGAAGUGGGAAAAGCUCAACUUUAAAAUCUGGCAGCUUUGCUGUCCGAGUUGUAGUCUCGAGAAGCGUUUUCCGUGUUGAAGCAUGCAUGAGUCUGUUGGAAUACAGCGUCAUAGAGGGUGAGAACCCCGUUCGUGGUAUGCCUUUCAAUACUUUGUGAUACGUUUUCGAUGAGUCGAGUUGUUUGGGAAUGCAGCUCAAAAUGGGUGGUAAAUUCCAUCUAAAGCUAAAUAUUGGCGGGAGACCGAUAGCGCACAAGUA
Molecule: ribosomal RNA, 314 nt
Filed under: uncultured eukaryote
Lineage: Eukaryota
Description: partial large subunit ribosomal RNA
Rfam family: Eukaryotic large subunit ribosomal RNA
Source: RNAcentral